CUACGGGGUGCACCAGUGGGGAAUAUUGGACAAUGGGGGAAACCCUGAUCCAGCAAUGCCGCGUGUGUGAAGAAGGCCUGCGGGUCGUAAAGCACUUUCGGUUGGGAGGACUGCUUCUAGCACUAAUAUUGUUGGAAGUUGACGUUACCUUCAGAAGAAGCACCGGCUAACUCCGUGCCAGCAGCCGCGGUAAUACGGAGGGUGAAAGCUUUAAUCGGAAGUACUGGGCGUAAAGCGCGCGUAGGCGGCUAGAUCAGUCGGGUGUGAAAGCCCCGGGCUUAACCUGGGAACUGCAUCCGAUACUGUCUAGCUUGAGUACAGGAGAGGAGAGUGGAAUUCCACAUGUAGCGGUGAAAUGCGUAGAUAUGUGGAGGAACACCAAUGGCGAAGGCAGCUCUCUGGCCUGAUACUGACGCUGAGGUGCGAAAGCGUGGGGAGCAAACAGGAUUAGAUACCCCAGUAGUC
Molecule: ribosomal RNA, 465 nt
Filed under: uncultured bacterium
Lineage: Bacteria
Description: partial 16S ribosomal RNA
Rfam family: Bacterial small subunit ribosomal RNA
Source: RNAcentral